This 297-nucleotide long non-coding RNA is filed under the name Coffea arabica (coffee). Its description in RNAcentral is "long non-coding RNA (CARA_LNC001112)". Lineage: Eukaryota; Viridiplantae; Streptophyta; Magnoliopsida; Gentianales; Rubiaceae. The record is from RNAcentral.
CCUCCUCCUUCAGAUCUCGUCUUAUUUCCGCUAGAUCCGUCGUCCUCUCCGGCGAAAGUCUCUUAGACGAGCUAGAUCUAGGAGAUUUCUCUCCGAAUUUAAUAGCUCCGGCUACGGAGGAGGUUACAGACGAGGAUGUUGAUGAAGAUGACGACGACGACGACGACGUGGAGGCGGAUGACGUGGCGUUGAAGCAUUUCUGGCACAUAUUAUUCGUCGCCGGAUUUCCAGUAACGCCACAGUUAUUAACACAAGGCGUGAUGGUCUCCGGUACGACUUUGAAUUCCGUCUCUUCUU